RNAcentral lists this ribosomal RNA (459 nucleotides) under uncultured bacterium. RNAcentral describes it as "partial 16S ribosomal RNA". It matches the Rfam family "Bacterial small subunit ribosomal RNA", at positions 338 to 795 of the family's 1533-position model. The record is from RNAcentral.
CCUACGGGUGGCAGCAGUGAGGAAUAUUGGUCAAUGGUCGGGAGACUGAACCAGCCAAGCCGCGUGAGGGAUGAAGGUACAGAGUAUCGUAAACCUCUUUUGUCAGGGAACAAAGGCGGGGACGCGUCCCCGGAUGAGUGUACCUGAAGAAAAAGCAUCGGCUAACUCCGUGCCAGCAGCCGCGGUAAUACGGAGGAUGCGAGCGUUAUCCGGAUUUAUUGGGUUUAAAGGGUGCGUAGGCGGUCUUUUAAGUUAGCGGUAAAAGCCCGGGGCUCAACCCUGGCGCGCCGUUGAAACUGGCAGUCUCGAGUUGGAGAGAAGUAUGCGGAAUGCGCGGUGUAGCGGUGAAAUGCAUAGAUAUCGCGCAGAACUCCGAUUGCGAAGGCAGCAUGCCGGCUCCACACUGACGCUGAGGCACGAAAGCGUGGGUAUCGAACAGGAUUAGAUACCCGGGUAGUC